GCCUGUGGUUAUACCACCUUGAAUGUGCAUGGUCUUCUCUGAUAUUAGAAGAUAAAAAGAGUCAGCCCUGUUUAGUACUUGGUAGAUGACCUGGGGAUACAGGUGCAAUAGAAA
Molecule: ribosomal RNA, 114 nt
Filed under: Chinchilla lanigera (long-tailed chinchilla)
Lineage: Eukaryota; Metazoa; Chordata; Mammalia; Rodentia; Chinchillidae
Source: RNAcentral